This is a long non-coding RNA of Pseudomyrmex gracilis, 2889 nucleotides long. RefSeq lists it as uncharacterized. The record is from RefSeq and is a predicted model, not a curated record. NCBI's taxonomy places the organism in Eukaryota, Metazoa, Arthropoda, Insecta, Hymenoptera, Formicidae. The transcript has 2 exons.
UAUAUAUGUAUAAUAUGUGUAUAUAUAUAGAUAUUUAUUUAUAAGAGAAAAUAUAUCAGUAUUUUUUUGUAGUAUUGUGAACAACUAUGAUCGAGAUGAUACUGAUUUAUGCAUAUAACAUUCAAUUUAUAUGUAUAUAUAAAUAUACAUAUAUAUGUGUAUCUAUAUGCAAGUUUUACAUAUGUAUAUAUAUAUAUAUGUAUAUUGAAUUCGCGUAUAUGUUUGAAUGCGUUCAGAUAAUGCGUCAAAAUAAUUUCUUUGGGCGUAAAAUAUGUACUGCCUGUCAUUUUUUCACAUCGAUGUAUGCGAUAUAAUUACACAUACUCUGUAAACUAUAACGGAAACGCAAAUCGUGCAAUGAAUGAACAUUCGUAUAUUUCUACGUGUUGCAAUUUCCAAGGCAACUUCAAAACAAAAUUUCGGUUUCACGCCUUCCAGAAACGAAAUAAUCAUUAAAAAUAAUUUAUUACGGACGCAUACAUACAAUUGAAACAAUUUUUACGUAAUUUACAGUAGUAUUUUACAGAACAUAUCGAUAGAAGACUCUUCUGCCUCUAGAGAUUCUCGAACGUAAUAUAUAAUAAAUAAUAAUGAAAGUAAUACGUAAAACAAAAAAAUAACGCGAAAAUAGUUGAAAUUAUAAGACACCGCAGUGAUUCUACCACUGGUGUGUAUCUCUCGGUUACCACAUGAGGAAAAAAAAGAAUGAAAAAUGAAUAAAGCAGAAAAAACGAGAAAAAAAAAAACAAUUUAUUUCCACACAUUUGAAUUAUCUAGCGAGAAAAAGAAAAUGUAAGACUUCUCAGAACAAGUUUUUAGUUUUUAACGACAUUAUACGUGUUUUCACAAGACGUUCAUUAAGAGUGAAAACAGAGAUAAGGGAGAGAAAGUCAAAGUCAUAUAUCUGCGUCUCUGACUUUGGUCUUGAAGCGAGAUAAAGAAGAUAUUGUGCGAAUAAAAUAAUAUAAUCGCGCGCGUCUAUCAAAAAUUACGUGAUUCGAUUGUAGAAAAUUGAAGAUUCACACAGUGCGUAACUUAAUUCUCUUCUACAAAUGUAUCACUUCUGACUAUAUAAUGCGAAAGAAAGCAGAAUAUACUAUCGCGAGAUAUAUAUAUAUAUACAUAAGGAAUUUACGUGAAAUGAUAGAUGCAAAUUCUAUUUCUGCUAAUAGCUCACGAAGCACUUAAGCGGCUCAAGCAAUUGAAAAACAAAAAUGUAUAAAAAUUUGAAAAAAAAAGAAAAAAAAAACAUUGGAAGACAAGGAUCUCUUCAGCUAUGUCGAUUAACGAAACACAAGAACGUGAUAAGUGGCAAAUUGAAUGAGAACUCGCGCGGAGAGACCGCGAGUAUAAUAACAACUGUGUUAUAUCCAAAGGUCCACACUUACGCUAGUCUGGCCGAGAACUUCAUACCGCUGUCGAGAUGUGUGUGUGUGUGUGUGUAUGUGUGUGUGGUGCGUGGUGUAUAUGUGCGUGCGCGCGAAUGUAUUGUAUUAGCAUAAUAUUCUACUUGUACGUACGUUGUUGUAUCCACGUUGAAUAUCUAAAUAUCUCUGGCACGCGCGUCCGACAACAGAAAUCUAUGUACUUAUAGGAUUGUUGCUCUCGUACUCGAGCGUGUUACACAUAUGUAUAUUCGACCAUACGUGCUUUCGAACGAUUAAAAAACUGAAAAAAAAAAAAAAAAUGAAAAAAACAAAAAAACGAAAGACGGAAAAGAAGAAGAGAAAACCACUCCGCCGCCGCCGGAUGUCUUGAAAAGAUAUACGCUUACAAAUAGAUCACAAUCUAGAUCGUACUCUGUGCAUUUCCCCGCCCUUCCUUCCCUACACACACACACAUAGUAAUCCAUUGUCGACGAGGAUAUUGUUCCUUUUUUGUAAAACCUGAAGCGAUCGUCGAAAUAAUCACGGACACGGGUUGUUCCAUGUUUAUAUCAGCGGAUGCAAGGAGUGAGUGAUCCGACGAACAUUGGGGGAGGGAGGGGGGUGACACCUGCGUGUGCGUGCGGUAAUUGAUGUGCGUGAAAAAAACAAAAAAAACAAAAGAACGACUUGUCACCUUAGGCCCGUUUCUUUGUGACAAAGGUGAUACACACAGUAAGGAGAGAGUUCCGUGAAAGUUGUAUUAAUGUUAACACGUGUAUUUUCCGUUGUGUAUAUCGUAUUGUACAUAAAAAAAAAAAAAAAAAAAAAUGCUAAAUCGUGAUCAUUCACACGCAUACGCCAGUAUUUAUUUGCGUAUGUCUCUACGAAUCGUCCUUGCUAACAUCUAGAAUUUGUUCGCGCGAUCUUAAUAGAGCGAACGGAGGAUUGAUGUAAUAUCUGCGAUUGUGUAUAAGAAAACGAAGACGGUGGUGCGUGCGUGCGGAAAUUUUGUGUAAACGCGCGCGAACAGAAACAAAACUUCCGAUAUUUGUAUUAAAAUACUGUCCGCAAUUUUGUGCGUGCGUGCGUGCGUUUGCGUGUGUGCGCGCGCGCGCGCGUGUGUAUGCGACGUUAUUAAGAUAUUAUUAUUCCGCUAAAAAAAACCACGUGUACGAGACGUUUAGCUCGUAGGUUUCUAGCCGAUUUUUCAAAAGUGCGUGCAUGCGCGCGCGCGCACGCAAAAUCACGGAGUUUUAAUAUUAUAAAAAUACGACUGACUGCUGGUUGUAUGGUUGUGAGCAAACUUUUUCUCUUCAUACAUCAUAGAUGAGAGAAUACACACACAUCCUUCUCCUUAAAAAAAAAAAAAAACUACAUACAUUGCACACGGAAAGAGGAGUAAUCGUUGCAUACGCGUUUAUGACGGAAUUAAGAGACUUGUGAUCUAAUUAUAAAUAUAUAUUAUACAUAUAUACAUAUAUAUAUAUAUAUAUAUAUAUAAUCACAAUUUCUUUACUCAACA